This 22-nucleotide unclassified non-coding RNA is filed under the name Mus musculus (house mouse). RNAcentral describes it as "oocyte_clustered_small_RNA810". The record is from RNAcentral. Lineage: Eukaryota; Metazoa; Chordata; Mammalia; Rodentia; Muridae.
UGACCAAGCAGGACAGAGAUAU